Molecule: RNA transcript, 3219 nt
Organism: Brassica oleracea var. oleracea
Lineage: Eukaryota; Viridiplantae; Streptophyta; Magnoliopsida; Brassicales; Brassicaceae
Exons: 7
Source: RefSeq, a predicted model, not a curated record
CAUGGGAGGUGGUUCCACGGUGCUUUGUCCUAAUACCGACCUUCUUUGGCCGUUCGGGAAGCUCAACGGUCUUGAACCUGAUGAUAUCCGCGAGACGGCUUACGAGAUCUUCUUCACGGCUUGUCGGUCAUCACCAGGUUUUGGUGGUAGGACUGCUCUCACGUUCUACUCUACGCACAACAACAACGACAAUCAUGGAGAAGCAGGAGGAGGAGGAGGAGGAGGAUCAAAUGGUGGUGGCUCUGGUUCAGGGUUUGGGUUUUCAGGGAGGAAAGAGGUGGUGACAACCCCUACAAGCCGGGUUAAACGGGCUUUAGGGUUGAAGAUGCUUAAAAGGUCACCGUCUAGGCGAAUGUCUACGAUAGGAGUGGCUGGAGGAGCCGGGACAAACUCGUUAUCACCUGGUGGUGGAAGUGGCUCAGGACACAUUAACAUUAGCCCCGGAACCGGGUUCUUGACGGUUCAGCCUACUCGGCCUAGAAGACCGUUAACUUCGGCGGAGAUUAUGAGGCAACAAAUGAGGGUAACAGAACAGAGUGAUAGCCGGCUUCGAAAAACCUUGUUGAGAACGCUUGUUGGUCAAACUGGUAGAAGAGCAGAGACGAUAAUCUUACCGCUAGAGCUUCUCCGACACUUGAAAACAUCAGAGUUCGGUGAUGGUCCCGAGUACCAGCUCUGGCAACGAAGACAACUCAAAGUUCUUGAAGCUGGUCUUCUCCUACACCCAUCGAUUCCUCUAGACAAAACCAACAACUACGCAAUGCGUUUAAGAGAAAUCGUUAGACAAAGCGAGAACAAACCCAUCGACACAAGCAAAACCUCAGACACAAUGAGAACACUAUGCAACGUAAUCGUGUCUUUAGCUUGGCGCAGCACUAAUGGAAACCCAUCCGAUGUUUGUCACUGGGCUGAUGGUUUCCCUCUCAGCAUUCAUCUUUACGUAGCAUUAUUGCAGUCGAUAUUCGAUGUAAGGGAUGAGACAUUGGUGCUAGAUGAAAUCGAUGAGAUGCUAGAACUAAUGAAGAAAACUUGGUCAACACUAGGGAUCACAAGACCAGUGCAUAAUCUAUGUUUCACUUGGGUUUUGUUUCAUCAAUACGUAGUAACGUCACAAAUGGAACCUGACUUGCUAGGCGCAUCACACGCUAUGCUGGCUGAAGUUGCUAAUGACGCAAAGAAACUUGACCGCGAAGCUCUCUAUGUAAAACUACUGACCUCAGUAUUAGCCUCUAUGCAAGGAUGGACCGAGAAAAGAUUGUUAAGCUACCAUGACUAUUUCCAAAGAGGCAAUGUGGGGUUGAUAGAGAAUCUUCUCCCAUUAGCGUUAUCAUCAUCAAAAAUCUUGGGAGAGGAUGUGACAAUCUCUCAAGGGAAAGGCGACGUUAAAUUAAUUGAUUAUUCAGGAGACCGUGUGGAUUAUUACAUAAGAGCGUCUAUUAAAACCGCAUUUUCUAAGGUGAUAGAGAACACAAAGGCUAAAAUCUUAGCUACAGAGGAAGGAGAAGAAGCGGCUGCAACACUACUACAUCUAGCUAAGGAAACAGAGGAGUUAGCGUUACGAGAACGUGAAUGUUUCAGUCCAAUACUCAAGAGAUGGCACUCAGUCGCUGCAGGUGUUGCCUCGGUGUCGCUUCACCAAUGCUAUGGCUCGAUCUUGAUGCAGUAUUUGGCAGGGAGAUUUUUUAUCUCAAGAGAUACUGUUGAGGUUUUGCAAACGGCAGGGAAGCUAGAGAAGGUUUUGGUGCAGAUGGUGGCUGAAGAUUCAGAAGAAUUCGAUGACGGUGGAAAAGGGUUGGUUCAAGAAAUGGUUCCUUAUGAAGUUGAUUCGAUUAUUUUGCGGCUUUUGAGGCAAUGGAUUGAAGAGAAUCUAAAGAGAGUUCAAGAAUGUUUGUUUAGAGCAAAAGAAACUGAAACAUGGAACCCUAAGUCCAAAUCAGAACCUUACGCACAAUCUGCAGGAGAGUUGAUGAAGCUAGCUAAGGAAAUAAUUGAUGAGUUCUUCGAAAUCCCCAUUGGGAUUACAGAGGAUCUAGUUCAUGAUCUUGUUGAAGGAUUGGAACAACUUUUCCAAGAAUACACUACCUUUGUUGCAUCUUGUGGUUCGAGACAGAGUUACAUUCCUACAUUACCUCCUCUUACAAGAUGCAACAGAGAUUCAGGAUUUCUUAAACUAUGGAAGAGAGCUACACCCUGUACCGCCGUCAGAGAAGAUUUCAGCCACGUUGCACCAGCGUUAUCCGACGGCCACCAUGCACGCCCAUCCACAAGCCGCGGGACGCAACGUCUUUACAUUCGUCUCAACACACUACAUUUCCUAAGCUCACAUAUCCACUCACUAAACAAAACACUCUCUCUGAACCCGAGGGUACUCCCCGCAACCCGAAAACGUUACCGCCACCGAAACAACAACUCUUCUUCCUACUUCGACUUCACCUACGCUGGCAUCGAAUCCGCUUGCCAGCACGUUUCAGAAGUCGCGGCUUACAGACUAAUCUUCCUCGACUCGAACUCUGUUCUCUACGAGAGUCUUUACGUAGGAGAAGUCGCGAACACGAGGAUCAGACCGGCUUUGCGGAUCAUGAAACAGAACUUAACGCUAAUGUCAGCGAUUCUUGCGGACCGUGCUCAAGCGCUGGCGAUGAGGGAGGUUAUGAAGUCGUCUUUCGAAGCGUUCUUGAUGGUCUUGCUCGCUGGAGGGUUUUCGAGAGUGUUUUACAGAUCGGAUCAUAGUUUGAUCGAGGAAGAUUUCGAGAGCUUGAAGAGGGUUUUUUGCACUUGUGGUGAAGGGUUGAUACCUGAGGAUAUUGUUGACAGAGAUGCGGAGACUGUGGAAGGUGUGAUUCAGCUGAUGAGUCAACCUACAGAACAACUUAUGGAAGAUUUUAGUAUUGUGACGUGUGAAACAAGUGGGAUGGGGAUGGUUGGGUCAAAACAGAAGCUACCGAUGCCUCCGACUACAGGAAGGUGGAACCGGUCUGAUCCGAACACUAUCUUGAGGGUUCUUUGUCAUAGAAACGACCGUGUUGCUAAUCAGUUUCUUAAGAAGUCAUUUCAAUUGCCUAAAAGGAGGUGACAACUUGAAAUGGAGAAAGCAAAGGAAAAGAAAAGAAUUCAACUCUUAUAAAGACAAAAUUGUUUGUGUUGAAGUUGAAGAGUAAAACGAGUUUGUGGGAUAUUUUCGAUGAAUAUUUGUUCAUUUUUUUUAUUAGACUAGGGCCG